This 497-nucleotide ribosomal RNA is filed under the name uncultured bacterium. Its description in RNAcentral is "partial 16S ribosomal RNA". It matches the Rfam family "Bacterial small subunit ribosomal RNA", at positions 28 to 507 of the family's 1533-position model. The record is from RNAcentral.
GAUGAACGCUGGCGGCGUGCCUAAUACAUGCAAGUCGAGCGAACGGACGAGAAGCUUGCUUCUCUGAUGUUAGCGGCGGACGGGUGAGUAACACGUGGAUAACCUACCUAUAAGACUGGGAUAACUUCGGGAAACCGGAGCUAAUACCGGAUAAUAUUUUGAACCGCAUGGUUCAAAAGUGAAAGACGGUCUUGCUGUCACUUAUAGAUGGAUCCGCGCUGCAUUAGCUAGUUGGUAAGGUAACGGCUUACCAAGGCAACGAUGCAUAGCCGACCUGAGAGGGUGAUCGGCCACACUGGAACUGAGACACGGUCCAGACUCCUACGGGAGGCAGCAGUAGGGAAUCUUCCGCAAUGGGCGAAAGCCUGACGGAGCAACGCCGCGUGAGUGAUGAAGGUCUUCGGAUCGUAAAACUCUGUUAUUAGGGAAGAACAUAUGUGUAAGUAACUGAGUACAUCUUGACGGUACCUAAUCAGAAAGCCACGGCUAACUACGUG